Molecule: ribosomal RNA, 459 nt
Filed under: uncultured bacterium
Lineage: Bacteria
Description: partial 16S ribosomal RNA
Rfam family: Bacterial small subunit ribosomal RNA
Source: RNAcentral
CCUACGGGUGGCAGCAGUGAGGAAUAUUGGUCAAUGGGCGGGAGCCUGAACCAGCCAAGUCGCGUGAGGGACGACGGUCCUAUGGAUUGUAAACUGCUUUUGUCGGGGAACAAAGCCCCCUACGUGUGGGCCGUUGCGUGUACCCUAAGAAUAAGCAUCGGCUAACUCCGUGCCAGCAGCCGCGGUAAUACGGAGGGUCCGAGCGUUAUCCGGAUUUAUUGGGUUUAAAGGGUGCGUAGGCGGACUGUCAAGUUCGCGGUAAAAUUGCGGGGCUAAACGCGGUACAGCCGUGGAAACCGGCAGGCUUGAGUGGGCGGAAAGUAGGCGGAAUGCGUGGUGUAGCGGUGAAAUGCAGAGAUAUGACGAAGAACUCCGAUUGCGAAGGCAGCAUGCUGGAGCGGGACUGACGCUGAGGCACGAAAGCGUGGGUAUCGAACAGGAUUAGAUACCCCUGUAGUC